This 528-nucleotide long non-coding RNA is filed under the name Mytilus galloprovincialis (Mediterranean mussel). Lineage: Eukaryota; Metazoa; Mollusca; Bivalvia; Mytilida; Mytilidae. The record is from RNAcentral.
UAGUUUUCAUUGUGGUUAAACUUAUAAAUGUAAAAAUAAUAACUUAUAUUAAAUCAUUGCACUUCAUCAUAGAUCAUCUAACUCCAGCUUACCCAUCAAGAUAUGGCGUCCUGUCGAAUUUAGAAAAUAGAAUAACUGAUUUCUGAAAUUUAUGACAAAGGCAUACAUCUAUAGAAAAUCUAAUUAAUAAUAUUGAUAUAUAGGAAAUCUUUAACGGUUGACCAAAAUAGACACCAAUUUUCGAAUGCACGUAGCAUUAUGUGUUAGUAAUAAGUCUUGUUCGGUCACAAGUUGAAUAUUCUUAUAUAUUUGAAUUAUUCAAUUAGUUGUUUCUUUCAUUACAUUUACCAUGGGCUUAUUAAUGGAAAUAAAGUAUAAAAUAAAAGGAACUAUAUCUGAUUCUACUCAUUUCCAAUUCAUUUUCUUGCAACGUCAUGUCCGGUGUCUUGACAGCAUCAAAUGUUGAUUGACGUCAGAUGAAUGAAAAUUGUUUUUUUUUAAUCGGAAAUCACGAUGAUACAUUGCAGC